RNAcentral lists this ribosomal RNA (438 nucleotides) under uncultured bacterium. Its description in RNAcentral is "bacterial SSU rRNA". It matches the Rfam family "Bacterial small subunit ribosomal RNA", at positions 958 to 1397 of the family's 1533-position model. The record is from RNAcentral.
AACGCGAAGAACCUUACCCAGACUUGACAUACAGUGGACAGUAACAGAAAUGUUAUCUCUCUUCGGAGCCACUGAACAGGUGCUGCAUGGCUGUCGUCAGCUCGUGCCGUGAGGUGUUUGGUUAAGUCCAGCAACGAGCGCAACCCUUAUCACUAGUUGCCAACACGUAAUGGUGGGAACUCUAGUGAGACUGCCUGGGUUAACCAGGAGGAAGGUGAGGAUGACGUCAAGUCCGCAUGGCCCUUAUGUCUGGGGCUACACACGUACUACAAUGGUCGGUACAGAAGGCAGCGAAACCGCGAGGUGGAGCAAAUCCAAAAAACCGAUCUCAGUUCAGAUUGUAGUCUGCAACUCGGCUACAUGAAGAUGGAAUUGCUAGUAAUGGCGAGUCAGCACAUCGCCGUGAAUACGUUCCCGGGCCUUGUACACACCGGCUAC